GACGAACGCUGGCGGCGUGCUUAACACAUGCAAGUCGAACGGAAAGGCCCUGCUUUUGUGGGGUGCUCGAGUGGCGAACGGGUGAGUAACACGUGAGUAACCUGCCCUUGACUUUGGGAUAACUUCAGGAAACUGGGGCUAAUACCGGAUAGGAGCUCCUGCUGCAUGGUGGGGGUUGGAAAGUUUCGGCGGUUGGGGAUGGACUCGCGGCUUAUCAGCUUGUUGGUGGGGUAGUGGCUUACCAAGGCUUUGACGGGAAGCCGGCCUGAGAGGGUGACCGGCCACAUUGGGACUGAGAUACGGCCCAGACUCCUACGGGAGGCAGCAGUGGAGAAUAUUGCACAAUGGGCGGAAGCCUGAUGCAGCAACGCCGCGUGCGGGAUGACGGCCUUCGGGUUGUAAACCGCUUUCGCCUGUGACGAAGCGUGAGUGACGGUAAUGGGUAAAGAGGCACCGGCUAACUACGUG
This 468-nucleotide ribosomal RNA is filed under the name uncultured bacterium. Its description in RNAcentral is "partial 16S ribosomal RNA". It matches the Rfam family "Bacterial small subunit ribosomal RNA", at positions 28 to 507 of the family's 1533-position model. The record is from RNAcentral.